RNAcentral lists this long non-coding RNA (291 nucleotides) under Elaeis guineensis (African oil palm). RNAcentral's name for it is "long non-coding RNA (EGUI_LNC043067)". Lineage: Eukaryota; Viridiplantae; Streptophyta; Magnoliopsida; Arecales; Arecaceae. The record is from RNAcentral.
GAUGCAAGAUAAAAAUCAUUAUUUCAAUUCUGAUCAUCAACAUGAGUGCGCGGCAUCGUGACAAAGUCUCAUAUUUUGUCCACGUCGAUCUUGCGUGGAGUUAAAAAAGAAAGAAAGAAAGAAAGACGAGGUUCAUGGAACUUUGACUGCUCUUUAGUCAGCCCGUUCCAGGUUCAAUGGAUGGCAGCCCACGGUCCGCCUGUCCGCGGUUGGCCGAUCGUGGAUUCGGAAAAGCUUACGUGUCACAGGACAGACCGCAACCCCCGUUGCCGAAAGUCCAGCCCCCCAGGC